This 1905-nucleotide ribosomal RNA is filed under the name Triticum aestivum (bread wheat). Its description in RNAcentral is "partial small subunit ribosomal RNA". The record is from RNAcentral. Lineage: Eukaryota; Viridiplantae; Streptophyta; Magnoliopsida; Poales; Poaceae.
AUGACAGCUUGGAUUCUACCAAGAAGUCCGAAGCUUCAUAAGAGGUUCCACAAAGGAACCCCAGGGUUAAACCCCCUGCCCAGAGUAAGAAUCCGAAGACUCUCCGAGCAUUUUUCCUUAAGGCUCAUUCUAAUCAUAUCCCCCGAGCCCUGGGCCUCGUCUUCGGCAGCGGUUGCCAAUGUUGCGGAGCUGGCUGAAAUGAAACGGAAGCUCAAGAUCUCCAAUGAGGAGCUCGACCAUGUCAACAAGCGAUUUGACAAAGCGCAAGUUGUUGCCGUGGAGGUCGAGAACCUUAAGGCCAAACUGAAGAAGUCCAAGCAGGAGGCUGCCGAACAGAAGUGGCGGCUGAUCGAGCGGUCGUCGAGCUGUCGACGGUGGUUUUGCCCCAUCAGCUCGUGGCGCCCGCACCCAAUCACCCGCGUCUCGCCCCACUCCCACCCCAGCCGCCAAACGAACCCUAGCCCGCUUUCUCCCUUCCCUCGAUCCCCACGAGCCGCCGCACCCCUCCCUCCCCAAUCUCCACAGCCGCCGCACCUCUCCCUCGAUCCCCACGAUCCUCUCCUCGCCCGCAGCCGCCGGCCUCGUCUCUCCACUCGCCUACUCCUCUCCUCUACCAUGUCGUCGUCGAUCCCACCGCCGGCCUUCUCCACUGCUUGCCUCUUCCUGUCCGCUUCCAUGUCACCGUCGAUCCAGAUCGGAUGUGAAGGAGGAGGCCGGCGAGGAAGGCAAGCAACAGCGGGGAAGGAGCAGGUGAGCAAUCCUAGCGCGGGGAACAUCCGUGGGGACGGCGCCGUCGGCCAGGGGCCAUUCGCCGUCGUCGGCCUCACUCGCCUCGUCUGCUCUCUCUUCACCAGCCCGACCAUAGAGGAUGGGAUGAGAAAGUCUGUGGCCAGCGAAUGGAGCCCCACCUUUGCGUUUCUGUCGCCGCCGAGGAACGUCGCAGCCACUCGCCCACACCAGCCAAAAAGAUUUGGGACUUCACAAUCUGAUGCUGAGCAAGUGGACAUCCAUGUCCCAAAUGAGAAGGCUGGGUUGCUCAUUGGGGAGGGAGGUGAGACCAUUGAGCUUUUAGAAACUAAGUCUGGGGCUGGCAUUCAGGAUAGUGCUAUGACUAUAUGCAUGGAUGUCUUUAUCCAUCCCCAAAUGAGAAGGCUCGGAUGCUCAUUGGGGAGGGAGUUAAUCCCGCAUCAUCUCCCCGAAGGUGAUCUUUCCACAGAAAGAAAAAUACAACUUAGUGGGAAUUGGAAUCAAAUAGAGAUUGCAAGAACAAUGGUCGUGGAACUCAUUAGUCAGGCCUCUUUCUUUGUUACUUCUGAAACUCAACAUAUGGGGAUUUUGAGAGGAUUUUCAUGUCUGACCAGGGCUAAACUGAGAAAAUAUUGCAAGAGCUCAUCCAUGUACUUGCUUGAUUACACCAACUUGGGAGCACUAUCAAGAAGCUUAUGUAGUUUGUCAUUGAUUAUUGAUGUCAUAACAAGGAUAUGCCAUACACACGAAGAUACUCCUAUUAACACGAGUGCCAUCAGUAUAGUGACCUUGUGCAUCAGCAUGAAGGGGAGCCUUGGCGCAGUGGUAAAGCUGCUGCCUUGUGACCAUGAGGUCACGGGUUCAAGUCCUGGAAACAGCCUCUUGCAGAAAUGUAGGGAACGGCUGCGUACAAUAGACCCAAAGUGGUCGGACCCUUCCCCAGACCCUGCGCAAGCGGGAGCUACAUGCACUGGGGCUGCCCUUUUUAUUUCACGUGCCUAUUUGUAUGAGAGAUUUGUUAUUGACCUAAGGCCAAGUGUAUCACUAUCUAUUUAUCAUCCUUGGUGUUGGGAUCAAGACGAUGAGUAUGAUGAUGCCAUUGAUUCACAUGAUGAUCUUGGUGAUGAGUAUGAUGAUGCCAAUCAUAUGUUGGUGUGA